GCCGCUGUGGCUUAGAGGUAGAGCAGCUGAUUCGUAAUCAGCGGGUCGGGGGUUCGAAUCCCUCCAGCGGCU
This 72-nucleotide transfer RNA is filed under the name Methanomicrobia archaeon. RNAcentral describes it as "tRNA-Thr". It matches the Rfam family "tRNA". From Rfam's summary of the family: Transfer RNA (tRNA) molecules are approximately 80 nucleotides in length. Lineage: Archaea; Methanobacteriati; Methanobacteriota; Methanomicrobia. The record is from RNAcentral.